This 497-nucleotide ribosomal RNA is filed under the name uncultured bacterium. RNAcentral describes it as "partial 16S ribosomal RNA". It matches the Rfam family "Bacterial small subunit ribosomal RNA", at positions 28 to 507 of the family's 1533-position model. The record is from RNAcentral.
GAUGAACGCUGGCGGCGUGCCUAAUACAUGCAAGUCGAGCGAACAGACGAGGAGCUUGCUCCUCUGACGUUAGCGGCGGACGGGUGAGUAACACGUGGAUAACCUACCUAUAAGACUGGGAUAACUUCGGGAAACCGGAGCUAAUACCGGAUAAUAUAUUGAACCGUAUGGUUCAAUAGUGAAAGACGGUUUUGCCGUCACUUAUAGAUGGAUCCGCGCCGCAUUAGCUAGUUGGUAAGGUAACGGCUUACCAAGGCAACGAUGCGUAGCCGACCUGAGAGGGUGAUCGGCCACACUGGAACUGAGACACGGUCCAGACUCCUACGGGAGGCAGCAGUAGGGAAUCUUCCGCAAUGGGCGAAAGCUUGACGGAGCAACGCCGCGUGAGUGAUGAAGGUCUUCGGAUCGUAAAACUCUGUUAUUAGGGAAGAACAAAUGUGUAAGUAACUAUGCACGUCUUGACGGUACCUAAUCAGAAAGCCACGGCUAACUACGUG